This 1051-nucleotide long non-coding RNA is filed under the name Drosophila melanogaster (fruit fly). RNAcentral's name for it is "long non-coding RNA:CR45473 (Dmel_CR45473)". Lineage: Eukaryota; Metazoa; Arthropoda; Insecta; Diptera; Drosophilidae. The record is from RNAcentral.
GAUGUUGGUGAACGCGGUACUAUCGAUAAUACUAUCGUAUUUUUGCAAUUCUAUUGCAAUUAUUAUUAUUUCAAUUCAAUUAAAUUAUAGCAUUGAAGUACCCUACAGAAAAUAUGUCUAAUUUUUUUAAAACAGAUCCCUAAGCGUUUUUCUUAAAACCCGCGUUCAUAAGCAAAAGCUUCAUGAAAGUGAACUUCACCGAGAAGAACAAGAUUAAAGAGAGCAAUAGUAAACAACAAGUGUCGUCGUCGAUAAGCGUAAUGCGAAGUAGUAAAAGUAAACGCAUCAUCAGUUUAUCUAGAAAAGAUAACAUUGAUUCCCGGGAUGAUAUUCUUUCGAAAAGUGGACUACAGUUCUGUCGAAAAGAAGACACUUCCGAAAUCUAGGUAGCAUUCACACAGCUUAAAUUGCCAAGUUAAAGAUUCAUUAAAAUCCGCUAAAAUAAAAUUUCCUAGCCCAACGGCUUCAUUAAGUCGACGAUUUCCUCAGUGACGGACAUGGCGACAUGAACUCAUAAUAACUUGAAGCUCACCCAAAUUGAUAGCAAUCCAGCGGACUUAAGCGCAGUGAUCUAAAGACUCAAGAUAAAGAAUUCGAGACGUUUGAGACAUAUUCAAAGCCUUUGGUGAGCUGUAUUCCUUACGUAUUCACAUCGUGACUUUGGCUUUGUUGACUAAAUCUCCAAGUAGAGUCCGAAAGCGCCUUCAACACUUUUAGAGCCAGUACUCAUUUCUACUGCCGUCAAUUGGUGCUUGAGUAGAGCGCCAAAGAUAAACAACCUGGGCGUGGAGGAGCAUUGCAAACAGACGGUGAUCUAAUUCGGCGCCAGUCUGGCAGCCUAUUCGCCGAAACGCGGUUAAAAAUCCCUCUUCGUUGUAGAGGGAUAAGUGCAGUCAAAUCAAGAGGACGAGGAAAAGCAAUAAUAUCCAGGCCUAGCUUGAAAAUGUAUAAAGUAGACAAUAUAAUUUUUAAAAUAUUCAUAUAAAAAAAACUGCCCUGAAACAUAAUUACAAUGCCUGAAUGAUAAUCUCGAAGCCCUAUAGCAAUAUCU